This 279-nucleotide unclassified non-coding RNA is filed under the name plant metagenome. RNAcentral's name for it is "partial contains small subunit ribosomal RNA, internal transcribed spacer 1, and 5.8S ribosomal RNA". The record is from RNAcentral.
UUUCCGUAGGUGAACCUGCGGAAGGAUCAUUCUUAUUUAACGGUUGUGCGAGUUCUGUAGCUGAUCCGAACCGUCGGUCACGUCCGAGUGCCUUUCCUCAUGUACAUCUCACCCCUAUGAGCUCUUCCGCGACUGUCUGCCUGAGAACUAUUCGGAGGGAAGCUUACAUUUUCAACUAUCAUUAACGGAUCGCGUAGAUUGUAUUUUUUGUUUUUACGCAGCCGCAAGCAAUACAACUUUCAACAACUGAACUCUUUCCUCUCGCAUCGAUGAAGAACC